CACCAGUUCUACACACUGCUGGUUUUGUAUAUCUUAAUGGCGCCCCACACAUUAUAUACAAUUUUUGUAGCCAUUCAUUUUUCAAGAAUUAAACUGUAACUAAAACACCGCACAAUCAAUAGCUCUGAAUGCCAUGUUGCAGACAUCACACAACUGCACAGGCUGUGAGUGAAGCCAGUGUGGUGUUCAUUAACUUUAUAUUUUCAUUCUAUUCUGGUAAAUAAAGCACACAGAUAAAAUUGCAUGGCAACUGUCAAGGCACUUCAAUCACGAGUGGCCUUGUCUGCUAGGGCCUGUCCCAUUUUGCACUGCUCCAGCCAGGAGCAGAGGAGCCCCAGAUCUGGGCACCUCACUGGGCACAAGGCCAGGCUGGGAUGCAGACCUGGCUCAGUGGGUCCCAGGACCAGGCAGGCCUGUGAGGAGCUGAAGCCCAGCCCUGCUGCAGCAUCACUGAGGGAGCAGCUGAUGGGCCCAGGGUUGAGGGGGAGCCUUGGCCAAUGUAAGAAGACCCAAAGGGCUGCACAGGGACAUGAGGGACUGCUGGUGUCCCCAGGGUCCUCCUAGGACUUCAUGAGGCCUGCUGCAUAACAAGCAGAAGCAGGCAAGGAAAUGAAAAAUCCUUCUGUUUCCAACUUUCCCUCAAUACCUGAGAGGACCUUUACAACAGAGGAUCUUUUCUGGGCCACAGCUGCUGAAUGCAUCAAGUUUUUAAAUGCAAAAUGUUAGAAGAUCAGAAGCAUAGGUGGAUGGAUAGACUUCGACGUCCGUGCUGAGGGCGGCUUUUGAAAAAACUGCUAUAGUUCUCAACAGAUGGCUGCAUUAAAGAUGCAUGUCUAAUACUCUGUAUCAGCAUUAUAUACUGUUUGGUUAAGCUUUCAGUAAAGUAUUUGAUGCAGUUAAAAUCCCAGCAUAUGCACACUCACAUAACCCCAACACUAUUCCACAGAACAAUCAUACAGCUGAAGGAGCUGAUGACCAUCAACAUGAAGUUUCCCUUCUACUCAUUUAUUAAGCACAAACAGCUUUAUGAAAAAAAAAAAAUUGGCACAAGGAAUGCAAGUUUCCAUUAUCCAUCAUGUGGCUG
Numida meleagris (helmeted guineafowl) is the source of this 1084-nucleotide long non-coding RNA. RefSeq lists it as uncharacterized. The record is from RefSeq and is a predicted model, not a curated record. Lineage: Eukaryota; Metazoa; Chordata; Aves; Galliformes; Numididae. The transcript is spliced from 3 exons.